Molecule: ribosomal RNA, 485 nt
Filed under: Ruegeria pomeroyi
Lineage: Bacteria; Pseudomonadati; Pseudomonadota; Alphaproteobacteria; Rhodobacterales; Roseobacteraceae
Description: bacterial SSU rRNA
Rfam family: Bacterial small subunit ribosomal RNA
Source: RNAcentral
CCGCGUGAGUGACGAAGGCCCUAGGGUCGUAAAGCUCUUUCGCCUGUGAUGAUAAUGACAGUAGCAGGUAAAGAAACCCCGGCUAACUCCGUGCCAGCAGCCGCGGUAAUACGGAGGGGGUUAGCGUUGUUCGGAAUUACUGGGCGUAAAGCGCACGUAGGCGGAUCAGAAAGUUGGGGGUGAAAUCCCGGGGCUCAACCCCGGAACUGCCUCCAAAACUUCUGGUCUGGAGUUCGAGAGAGGUGAGUGGAAUUCCGAGUGUAGAGGUGAAAUUCGUAGAUAUUCGGAGGAACACCAGUGGCGAAGGCGGCUCACUGGCUCGAUACUGACGCUGAGGUGCGAAAGUGUGGGGAGCAAACAGGAUUAGAUACCCUGGUAGUCCACACCGUAAACGAUGAAUGCCAGUCGUCGGCGCGCAUGCGUGUCGGUGACACACCUAACGGAUUAAGCAUUCCGCCUGGGGAGUACGGUCGCAAGAUUAAAAC